GGGCUUACACAAGCGGUGGAGCAUGUGGUUUAAUUCGAUACAACGCGCAAAACCUUACCAAUUUUUGACAUAGGAAAAGUAUUUUUGUUAUUAAAAAUCUCUUUUUUCUACAGGUGCUGCAUGGCUGUCGUCAGUUCGUGGCGUGAGCUGUUGGGUUAAGUCCUAGAACGAACGCAACCCUCAGGUUCUUUGCUUUGAAUCAUUGAACCAACUGCCUCUGAGAUAGAGGAGGAAGGGGGGAUGACGUCAAGUCCGCAUGGCCCUCAUGAAUUGGGCUACACACGUGCUACAAUGAUGAUGCCAAAAAAGAUGCAAGUUGGUAACACGGAGCAAUUCUCUAACCAUCAUCUUAGUUCGGAUUGGUCUCUGCAACCCGAGACCAUGAAGCCGGAAUCGCUAGUAAUCGUAGAUC
This 412-nucleotide ribosomal RNA is filed under the name uncultured bacterium. RNAcentral describes it as "partial 16S ribosomal RNA". It matches the Rfam family "Bacterial small subunit ribosomal RNA", at positions 917 to 1350 of the family's 1533-position model. The record is from RNAcentral.